UGGGGAAUCUUGGACAAUGGGGGAAACCCUGAUCCAGCCAUGCCGCGUGAAUGAAGAAGGCCUUAGGGUUGUAAAGUUCUUUUAGUGGGGAAGAUAAUGACGGUACCCACAGAAAAAGCCCCGGCUAACUCCGUGCCAGCAGCCGCGGUAAUACGGAGGGGGCUAGCGUUGUUCGGAAUUACUGGGCGUAAAGCGCACGUAGGCGGCUUGGAAAGUUGGAGGUGAAAGCCCAGAGCUUAACUCUGGAACUGCCUUCAAAACUCCCAAGCUAGAGUUCGGAAGAGGAGAGUGGAAUUCCCAGUGUAGAGGUGAAAUUCGUAGAUAUUGGGAAGAACACCAGUGGCGAAGGCGGCUCUCUGGUCCGAUACUGACGCUGAGGUGCGAAAGCGUGGGGAGCAAACAGG
Molecule: ribosomal RNA, 404 nt
Filed under: uncultured bacterium
Lineage: Bacteria
Description: bacterial SSU rRNA
Rfam family: Bacterial small subunit ribosomal RNA
Source: RNAcentral